AUGGUUAUCGUGGUGUUUAUGGUCUGAUUCCCAGUCAGAUGUACAGUAUGGUGUUUAUGAUCUGAUUCCCAGUCAGAUGUACAGUAUGGUUAUAGUGGUGUUUACGGUCUCCUUCCUCCCUUCCUUUCUUCCAGGGAGGUGCUGGUAUCAGAGGAGCCAGGGGAGAUCGAGGGGAGCCAGGCAAUGUGGGGCCUCAAGGACUAGUUGGUGAUAAAGGUCCUUCUGGACCACAGGGCCCCCCUGGUCCUCAAGGGCCUAGUGGACAUUCCAUCCAGGGACCACCGGGUGGUGAUGGUGAAAAGGGAGAAAAGGGAGAUGUUGGUUUACCAGGACCUCAGGGUGUUGGUGGAUCUCCUGGCGGAUCAGGAAGAGAUGGACCAGUUGGACAGAGGGUAACAGUCUAUUCAUUUUGU
Long non-coding RNA from Oncorhynchus tshawytscha (Chinook salmon), 413 nucleotides. The record is from Ensembl. Lineage: Eukaryota; Metazoa; Chordata; Actinopteri; Salmoniformes; Salmonidae.